GACGAACGCUGGCGGCGUGCUUAACACAUGCAAGUCGAACGGUGAAGCGCCUUCUUUUUUGGUGGGUGUGGAUGAGUGGCGAACGGGUGAGUAACACGUGAGUAACCUGCCCCCUUCUUCUGGAUAACCGCAUGAAAGUGUGGCUAAUACGGGAUAUUCUGGGUCUGUCGCAUGAUGGGUCCGGGAAAGAUAUUGUUUCGGUGGGGGAUGGGCUCGCGGCCUAUCAGCUUGUUGGUGGGGUGAUGGCCUACCAAGGCGGUGACGGGUAGCCGGCCUGAGAGGGUGGACGGUCACACUGGGACUGAGACACGGCCCAGACUCCUACGGGAGGCAGCAGUGGGGAAUAUUGCACAAUGGGCGCAAGCCUGAUGCAGCGACGCCGCGUGAGGGAUGGAGGCCUUCGGGUUGUGAACCUCUUUCGCCAGUGAAGCAGGCCUGCCUGGUUUGUGGGUGGGUUGACGGUAGCUGGAGAAGAAGCGCCGGCUAACUACGUG
Molecule: ribosomal RNA, 494 nt
Filed under: uncultured bacterium
Lineage: Bacteria
Description: partial 16S ribosomal RNA
Rfam family: Bacterial small subunit ribosomal RNA
Source: RNAcentral